CAGUCGCCGCGGUAAUACAGAGGGUGCGAGCGCUAAUCGGAUUUACUGGGCGUAAAGCGUGCGUAGGCGGCUUCUUAAGUCGGAUGUGAAAUCCCUGAGCUUAACUUAGGAAUUGCAUUCGAUACUGGGAAGCUAGAGUAUGGGAGAGGAUGGUAGAAUUCCAGGUGUAGCGGUGAAAUGCGUAGAGAUCUGGAGGAAUACCGAUGGCGAAGGCAGCCAUCUGGCCUAAUACUGACGCUGAGGUACGAAAGCAUGGGGAGCAAACAGGAUUAGAUACCCCAGUAGUCCCUGUCUCUUAUAC
This 301-nucleotide ribosomal RNA is filed under the name uncultured bacterium. Its description in RNAcentral is "partial 16S ribosomal RNA". It matches the Rfam family "Bacterial small subunit ribosomal RNA", at positions 509 to 807 of the family's 1533-position model. The record is from RNAcentral.